CCUACGGGAGGCAGCAGUGGGGAAUAUUGCACAAUGGGCGAAAGCCUGAUGCAGCAACGCCGCGUGAGUGAUGAAGGCCUUCGGGUCGGAAAACCUUGUCCUCAAGGAAGCUAAUGACGGUACUUGAGGAGGAAGCCCCGGCCAACUACGUACCAGCUGCCGCAGUAAUACGUAGGGGGCCAGCGUUAUCCGGAUUUACUGGGCGUAAAGGGUGCGUAGGCGGUCUUUCAAGUCAGGAGUGAAAGGGUCAGGCUCAACCGUAGUAAGCUGUUGAAACUGGGUGACUUGAGUGGACGAGAGGAGAGUGGAAUGCGUGGUGUAGCGGUGAAAUGCGUAGAUAUCAGGAAGAACACCAGUUGCGAAGGCAGCACUCUGGCCUGUAACUGACGCUGAGGCACGAAAGCGUGGGGAGCGAACAGGAUUAGAUACCCGGGUAGUC
Molecule: ribosomal RNA, 439 nt
Filed under: uncultured bacterium
Lineage: Bacteria
Description: partial 16S ribosomal RNA
Rfam family: Bacterial small subunit ribosomal RNA
Source: RNAcentral